GCUUGGCCAUAAACAUAGAUAACAUAAUACACAUGCUAUCCGCCCGGGUACUACAAGCUCUGGCUUAAAACCCAAAGGACUUGGCGGUGCUUUAGACCCACCUAGAGGAGCCUGUCCUGUAACCGAUGAUCCCCGUUCAACCUCACCUUUCUUUGUUUACCCCGCCUAUAUACCGCCGUCGUCAGCUUACCUCAUGAGAGACUUAUAGUAAGCAAAACUGGCACAACCCAGAACGUCAGGUCGAGGUGUAGCGAAUGGAAAGGGAAGAGAUGGGCUACAUUCCUUAAAUUAAGGAAUACGAAUGAUGUUCUGAAACGUUCAUCCGAAGGAGGAUUUAGCAGUAAGCAGAAAACAGAGAGUUCCGCUGAAACUGGCCCUGAAGCGCGC
This 387-nucleotide ribosomal RNA is filed under the name Gadopsis marmoratus. Its description in RNAcentral is "partial 12S ribosomal RNA". It matches the Rfam family "Bacterial small subunit ribosomal RNA", at positions 794 to 1384 of the family's 1533-position model. Lineage: Eukaryota; Metazoa; Chordata; Actinopteri; Centrarchiformes; Percichthyidae. The record is from RNAcentral.